Molecule: ribosomal RNA, 255 nt
Filed under: Klebsiella pneumoniae
Lineage: Bacteria; Pseudomonadati; Pseudomonadota; Gammaproteobacteria; Enterobacterales; Enterobacteriaceae
Description: partial 23S ribosomal RNA
Rfam family: Bacterial large subunit ribosomal RNA
Source: RNAcentral
UACUAUAGCUUGACACUGAACAUUGAGCCUUGAUGUGUAGGAUAGGUGGGAGGCUUUGAAGCGUGGACGCCAGUCUGCGUGGAGCCAACCUUGAAAUACCACCCUUUAAUGUUUGAUGUUCUAACGUUGGCCCCUGACCGGGGUUGCGGACAGUGUCUGGUGGGUAGUUUGACUGGGGCGGUCUCCUCCCAAAGCGUAACGGAGGAGCACGAAGGUUAGCUAAUCCUGGUCGGACAUCAGGAGGUUAGUGCAAUG